GGUAGCCGGCCUGAGAGGGUGUCCGGCCACACUGGGACUGAGAUACGGCCCAGACUCCUACGGGAGGCAGCAGUGGGGAAUAUUGCACAAUGGGCGCAAGCCUGAUGCAGCGACGCCGCGUGGGGGAUGACGGCCUUCGGGUUGUAAACCUCUUUCAGCAGGGAAGAAGCGAAAGUGACGGUACCUGCAGAAGAAGCGCCGGCUAACUACGUGCCAGCAGCCGCGGUAAUACGUAGGGCGCAAGCGUUGUCCGGAAUUAUUGGGCGUAAAGAGCUCGUAGGCGGCUUGUCACGUCGGGUGUGAAAGCCCGGGGCUUAACCCCGGGUCUGCAUUCGAUACGGGCUAGCUAGAGUGUGGUAGGGGAGAUCGGAAUUCCUGGUGUAGCGGUGAAAUGCGCAGAUAUCAGGAGGAACACCGGUGGCGAAGGCGGAUCUCUGGGCCAUUACUGACGCUGAGGAGCGAAAGCGUGGGGAGCGAACAGGAUUAGAUACCCUGGUAGUCCACGCCGUAAACGGUGGGAACUAGGUGUUGGCGACAUUCCACGUCGUCGGUGCCGCAGCUAACGCAUUAAGUUCCCCGCCUGGGGAGUACGGG
Molecule: ribosomal RNA, 594 nt
Filed under: uncultured bacterium
Lineage: Bacteria
Description: bacterial SSU rRNA
Rfam family: Bacterial small subunit ribosomal RNA
Source: RNAcentral